Long non-coding RNA from Dermochelys coriacea (leatherback sea turtle), 196 nucleotides. RefSeq lists it as uncharacterized. The record is from RefSeq and is a predicted model, not a curated record. The transcript has 4 exons. NCBI's taxonomy places the organism in Eukaryota, Metazoa, Chordata, Testudines, Dermochelyidae.
GGUUGUGGAAUCCCUGUUGUAGUAGGAAUUGAGCCUGAGACAUAAGCCCUUGUAUCAGAGGCCUGGUAUGAGGCAGGACCUGCUUACAGAAUUUGGCAAGAACAGGGCUGAUAUUGCAGAAAAACACAUUCUUAAGAAGUGCUAGUCACAGAAUGCAUCCGCUGAAGUGAGCUGUAGCUCACGAAAGCUUAUGCUA